UACGGGGGGGGCAAGCGUUGUUCGGAAUUACUGGGCGUAAAGGGCUUGUAGGUGGCCAACUAAGUCAGACGUGAAAUCCCACGGCUUAACCGGGGAACUGCGUCUGAUACUGGAUGGCUUGAGUGUGGGAGAGGGAUGCGGAAUUCCAGGUGUAGCGGUGAAAUGCGUAGAUAUCGUAAGGAAGACCAGUGGCGAAGGCGGGUCUCUGGACAGUUCCUGACGCUGAGGCACGAAGGUCAGGGGAGCAAACGGG
RNAcentral lists this ribosomal RNA (253 nucleotides) under uncultured bacterium. RNAcentral's name for it is "partial 16S ribosomal RNA". It matches the Rfam family "Bacterial small subunit ribosomal RNA", at positions 524 to 776 of the family's 1533-position model. The record is from RNAcentral.